Molecule: ribosomal RNA, 971 nt
Filed under: uncultured bacterium
Lineage: Bacteria
Description: bacterial SSU rRNA
Rfam family: Bacterial small subunit ribosomal RNA
Source: RNAcentral
GUAAUAUAUAGAUAACGUGCCUCUUAGUCUGGGAUAGCCAUUGGAAACGAUGAUUAAUACCGGAUACUCCUUCUAACUCUAAUGUUAGUCGGGAAAGUUUUUCGCUAAGAGAUCGGUCUAUAUCCCAUCAGUUAGUUGGUAAGGUAACGGCUUACCAAGGCAAUGACGGGUAGCGGGUUUGAGAGGAUGAUCCGCCACACUGGUACUGAGACACGGACCAGACUCCUACGGGAGGCAGCAGUGAGGAAUAUUGCACAAUGGGGGAAACCCUGAUGCAGCAACGCCGCGUGGAGGAUGACGCAUUUCGGUGUGUAAACUCCUUUUAUGAGUCAAGAAAAUGACGGUAGCUCAUGAAUAAGCACCGGCUAACUCCGUGCCAGCAGCCGCGGUAAUACGGAGGGUGCAAGCGUUACUCGGAAUCACUGGGCGUAAAGGACGCGUAGGCGGGAUGCCAAGUCUGAUGUGAAAUCCUAUGGCUUAACCAUAGAACUGCAUUGGAAACUGGUAACCUAGAGUAUGGGAGGGGGAGAUGGAAUUAGUGGUGUAGGGGUAAAAUCCGUAGAUAUCACUAGGAAUACCGAAAGCGAAGGCGAUCUCCUGGAACAUUACUGACGCUAAGGCGUGAAAGCGUGGGGAGCAAACGGGAUUAGAUACCCCGGUAGUCCACGCCCUAAACGAUGUUCACUAGUCGUCGGGAUGCUUGUCAUCUCGGUGAUGCACUUAACAGAUUAAGUGAACCGCCUGGGGAGUACGGUCGCAAGAUUAAAACUCAAAGGAAUAGACGGGGACCCGCACAAGUGGUGGAGCAUGUGGUUUAAUUCGAAGAUACGCGAAGAACCUUACCUGGCCUUGACAUUGAUAGAACACACUAGAGAUAGAGUGGUGCCCUUUCGGGGAGCUUGAAAACAGGUGCUGCACGGCUGUCGUCAGCUCGUGUCGUGAGAUGUUGGGUUAAGUCCCGCAACGAGCGC